This 388-nucleotide ribosomal RNA is filed under the name Syntrophaceticus sp. RNAcentral's name for it is "bacterial SSU rRNA". It matches the Rfam family "Bacterial small subunit ribosomal RNA", at positions 1 to 380 of the family's 1533-position model. The record is from RNAcentral. Lineage: Bacteria; Bacillati; Bacillota; Clostridia; Thermoanaerobacterales; Thermoanaerobacterales Family III. Incertae Sedis.
AUGGAGAGUUUGAUCCUGGCUCAGGACGAACGCUGGCGGCGUGCCUAACACAUGCAAGUCGAACGGGGUUUACAAGAAAGCUUGCUUUUUUGUGAACCUAGUGGCGGACGGGUGAGUAACGCGUGGAUAACCUGCCUGUAAGACCGGGAUAACACCGGGAAACCGGUGCUAAUACCGGGCGUGCUGUAGGGGGGGCAUCCCCUUUACAGGGAAGGGAGAAAUCCGCUUACAGAUGGGUCCGCGUCCCCUUAGCUAGCUGGUAGGGUAACGGCCUACCAGGGCGACGAUGGGUAGCCGGCCUGAGAGGGUGGUCGGCCACACUGGGACUGAGACACGGCCCAGACUCCUACGGGAGGCAGCAGUGGGGAAUAUUGCGCAAUGGGCGGAA